RNAcentral lists this ribosomal RNA (821 nucleotides) under Pseudonocardia sp. RNAcentral's name for it is "bacterial SSU rRNA". It matches the Rfam family "Bacterial small subunit ribosomal RNA", at positions 79 to 912 of the family's 1533-position model. Lineage: Bacteria; Bacillati; Actinomycetota; Actinomycetes; Pseudonocardiales; Pseudonocardiaceae. The record is from RNAcentral.
UUCGGGGGUACACGAGCGGCGAACGGGUGAGUAACACGUGGGUGACCUGCCCUCCACUCUGGGAUAAGCCUGGGAAACUGGGUCUAAUACCGGAUAGGACCAUUGAUCGCAUGGUUGGUGGUGGAAAGUUUUUUCGGUGGGGGAUGGGCCCGCGGCCUAUCAGCUUGUUGGUGGGGUGAUGGCCUACCAAGGCGGUGACGGGUAGCCGGCCUGAGAGGGCGACCGGCCACACUGGGACUGAGACACGGCCCAGACUCCUACGGGAGGCAGCAGUGGGGAAUAUUGCGCAAUGGGCGGAAGCCUGACGCAGCGACGCCGCGUGGGGGAUGACGGCCUUCGGGUUGUAAACCUCUUUCGCCAGGGACGAAGAGUGAUUGACGGUACCUGGAGAAGAAGCACCGGCCAACUACGUGCCAGCAGCCGCGGUAACACGUAGGGUGCGAGCGUUGUCCGGAAUUAUUGGGCGUAAAGAGCUCGUAGGCGGUGUGUCGCGUCGGCCGUGAAAACUUGGGGCUUAACUCUGAGCGUGCGGUCGAUACGGGCAUCACUUGAGUUCGGCAGGGGAGACUGGAAUUCCUGGUGUAGCGGUGAAAUGCGCAGAUAUCAGGAGGAACACCGGUGGCGAAGGCGGGUCUCUGGGCCGAUACUGACGCUGAGGAGCGAAAGCGUGGGGAGCGAACAGGAUUAGAUACCCUGGUAGUCCACGCCGUAAACGUUGGGCGCUAGGUGUGGGGACCAUUCCACGGUUUCUGUGCCGCAGCUAACGCAUUAAGCGCCCCGCCUGGGGAGUACGGCCGCAAGGCUAAAACUCAAAGGAAUUG